This 492-nucleotide ribosomal RNA is filed under the name uncultured bacterium. RNAcentral's name for it is "partial 16S ribosomal RNA". It matches the Rfam family "Bacterial small subunit ribosomal RNA", at positions 29 to 507 of the family's 1533-position model. The record is from RNAcentral.
AGUGAACGCUGGCGGUAGGCCUAACACAUGCAAGUCGAACGGCAGCACAGUAAGAGCUUGCUCUUACGGGUGGCGAGUGGCGGACGGGUGAGGAAUACAUUGGAAUCUACUUUUUCGUGGGGGAUAACGUAGGGAAACUUACGCUAAUACCGCAUACGACCUACGGGUGAAAGCAGGGGAUCUUCGGACCUUGCGCGAUUGAAUGAGCCGAUGUCGGAUUAGCUAGUUGGCGGGGUAAAGGCCCACCAAGGCGACGAUCCGUAGCUGGUCUGAGAGGAUGAUCAGCCACACUGGAACUGAGACACGGUCCAGACUCCUACGGGAGGCAGCAGUGGGGAAUAUUGGACAAUGGGCGCAAGCCUGAUCCAGCCAUACCGCGUGGGUGAAGAAGGCCUUCGGGUUGAAAAGCCCUUUUGUUGGGAAAGAAAAGCAGCAGGUUAAUACCCCGCUGUUCUGACGGUACCCAAAGAAUAAGCACCGGCUAACUUCGUG